GAUUGGAGUGGGAAGAGACUUGAGGCUGUAUGCCCACCAGCAGCAUGCCAUAAACCAGAUAAUGAAACUGAGGUGCAGAGAGAUGGUGAUAGAAAACUACUAGAAUAUUGAAGCAAGAGAAAAAACGCACAGUAGCACAUCCACACAUAACUGUAGAGACAAGAGGAAGUAAGAGAAAUGGAAAACACAAUUGAGCAUGUGUGGGAAGGAGGUGGCUUUUUAGUCAAGGAAUACUUCUUGAGGGAGGUAUAUCUAUGAAGGGAAUUAUGCAAGAUGGCACACGUGAGUGACUAUCUUAGUUGGUACAUCAGGUGAUUUUCUGCAUGUCUCCUAUGAGUGCUGGCAUAACAUUAUAAAAAUGUUGAGUUCUAAGUUCAGCAGCCUGGAUAAUUAUUAGCAAAAAAAAAAAUAUGUCCAAGAAUUUACCUAAUAAACUUUACUACAAAUGUAGAGGCU
RNAcentral lists this long non-coding RNA (456 nucleotides) under Monodelphis domestica (gray short-tailed opossum). RNAcentral describes it as "lncRNA (ENSMODG00000035610.2)". Lineage: Eukaryota; Metazoa; Chordata; Mammalia; Didelphimorphia; Didelphidae. The record is from RNAcentral.